This is a long non-coding RNA of Thunnus maccoyii (southern bluefin tuna), 1398 nucleotides long. RefSeq lists it as uncharacterized. The record is from RefSeq and is a predicted model, not a curated record. NCBI's taxonomy places the organism in Eukaryota, Metazoa, Chordata, Actinopteri, Scombriformes, Scombridae. The transcript has 3 exons.
UCUGCUUCCAACCAACAUGUUUCAGUGUGAAAUGUUGUAUGUAGAUUUGCUAAUGUGAUAUACAAAGUUCAGUAGGGGUGUGUAGCAUUUAUGUUUAAUUCUAUCUUCUCCUGUUUUUGUGACGCUAGGAGUUAGUGGUUUGUCUUACUGUUCUUUUUGUUUGAGUAGCUCAGGUUGCUUAGCUUUAGUUCCCUUCUGUUUGUUUUACUGUUACCCCACCCUGAAGCUUUAAAGACUUUAAAUAAAACCUUUAAAGGGCUGCUAAUCCCUUGUUGCUGGCAGUUCUUGAGAGCUGGGAAGAGGGGAGUCUCAUUCUUUUCAUGUUGCGCCGGGGUUUCCCCUAGGCUGAGUCGUAACAGUCUGACAGUGUUUGCUGCUGCUGCUGCAGGACUCAUCUUCUUUAUUGAGAUCAGUAAUUUGUUGAGCUUCAUGUUAUCUCACCUAACCUAACAAGUUUAAUCUCAGUUACUGGCAGCAGAUGAGGUGUAUUUUAUGACUGUGUGCUCCAGUAUUGAGACACAGGGUGCACUUCACUGUUCUCUCCACUAGAGAGUGCCAGAUGCAGUGAUUUUUUUUUUCCCCAGUCAGGGAGGGAAGGAGGGAGGGGAAUCCCUUCCUUCACCGCUUUUCUGACUACCUGCCUGAGUGACUUACUCACUGCUUCAGCUUGACCUAAUAAAUCACAUUACUGAGGCCAGCAGUGUAAUUACUGGCCAGCUGUCGCGCCUCUUCUUUAACUCUGGGCUGGAUUGUGUGAACCGGACUGGACUGCGGGAGAGUCAGCAGAGUGGAAUGGACAGAAAUCCAAUGGAGAGGACUGAACUGGACUCAGUUAUAAUGAUGCAGCUUCCCGUAAACCCACAGAUGAAGAUACAGAGACAGGUUAAAAAAAAAUGAUGAAUUGAUCUGCCAUCACUUCCUGCUUUCAUGUGUUGAGUAAGAAGACGGAUAAAGGUGAAUUUUCCUGCUACAUGGAUGGAAAUUUAAUGCUUCUGAUGCUUAUUUCUGCUGCAAAAACAAAAAAAACAAAAAAAAGUGUGGGUGGAACAGCAGGAGCUCAACCCAGAAACGUGUGAAGUUCAAAGAACAGACCAGAAAUCUUUCUGCAAGCCAGAUUGAUCCCUGGCAACCAGACAAACCUGCACAUAUGUCCAUGCAUCCAGCGUUCAUUGCAUCCAGGAGAGACAUCUGAUCAUGUGGACAUGUAGUCAUAAAUGUUCCACCUCCAUGAGGAAAAUAAUUCCUUUAUAAGAUGUAGAACAAUGUAUUAAAUUGCGUCUAAUUUACAGUAAUCUGUGUUGUUUUUUUAAUGUAAAUGUAACAGUUUUGACAGUAGAGUUUUGUUGGUGGUUGAACUUGAAUGAGAAAACAUUUCAUGAAUUUUUAAAGAUGAGUUCA